RNAcentral lists this ribosomal RNA (254 nucleotides) under uncultured bacterium. Its description in RNAcentral is "partial 16S ribosomal RNA". It matches the Rfam family "Bacterial small subunit ribosomal RNA", at positions 524 to 776 of the family's 1533-position model. The record is from RNAcentral.
CACGUAGGGGGCGAGCGUUGUCCGGAAUUAUUGGGCGUAAAGAGCUCGUAGGCGGUGUGUCGCGUCGGCCGUGAAAACCUGCAGCUUAACUGUGGGCUUGCGGUCGAUACGGGCAUCACUGGAGUUCGGCAGGGGAGACUGGAAUUCCUGGUGUAGCGGUGAAAUGCGCAGAUAUCAGGAGGAACACCGGUGGCGAAGGCGGGUCUCUGGGCCGUAACUGACGCUGAGGAGCGAAAGCGUGGGGAGCGAACAGG